UAGAAGUGGAGUCCGGCAACCACUCAAACAAACGGGGCGAUAUCGAAAAGCCUGAUGAGUAGAAGAAUC
Bacteroidetes bacterium GWF2_43_11 is the source of this 69-nucleotide non-coding RNA. The record is from Rfam. Lineage: Bacteria; Pseudomonadati; Bacteroidota.